This 253-nucleotide ribosomal RNA is filed under the name uncultured bacterium. RNAcentral describes it as "partial 16S ribosomal RNA". It matches the Rfam family "Bacterial small subunit ribosomal RNA", at positions 524 to 776 of the family's 1533-position model. The record is from RNAcentral.
UACGGAGGGAGCUAGCGUUGUUCGGAAUUACUGGGCGUAAAGCGCGCGUAGGCGGUAUAUCAAGUCAGGGGUGAAAUCCCGGGGCUCAACCCCGGAACUGCCCUUGAAACUGGUAAACUAGAAUCCUGGAGAGGCGAGUGGAAUUCCGAGUGUAGAGGUGAAAUUCGUAGAUAUUCGGAAGAACACCAGUGGCGAAGGCGACUCGCUGGACAGGUAUUGACGCUGAGGUGCGAAAGCGUGGGGAGCAAACAGG